GAUGAACGCUGGCGGCGUGCCUAAUACAUGCAAGUCGAGCGAACAGACGAGGAGCUUGCUCCUCUGACGUUAGCGGCGGACGGGUGAGUAACACGUGGAUAACCUACCUAUAAGACUGGGAUAACUUCGGGAAACCGGAGCUAAUACCGGAUAAUAUAUUGAACCGCAUGGUUCAAUAGUGAAAGACGGUUUUGCUGUCACUUAUAGAUGGAUCCGCGCCGCAUUAGCUAGUUGGUAAGGUAACGGCUUACCAAGGCAACGAUGCGUAGCCGACCUGAGAGGGUGAUCGGCCACACUGGAGCUGAGACACGGUCCAGACUCCUACGGGAGGCAGCAGUAGGGAAUCUUACGCAAUGGGCGAAAGCCUGACGGAGCAACGCCGCGUGAGUGAUGAAGGUCUUCGGAUCGUAAAGCUCUGUUAUUAGGGAAGAACAAAUGUGGAAGUAACUAUGCACGUCUUGACGGUACCUAAUCAGAAAGCCACGGCUAACUACGUG
RNAcentral lists this ribosomal RNA (497 nucleotides) under uncultured bacterium. RNAcentral describes it as "partial 16S ribosomal RNA". It matches the Rfam family "Bacterial small subunit ribosomal RNA", at positions 28 to 507 of the family's 1533-position model. The record is from RNAcentral.